CCUACGGGGCGCAGCAGUGGGGGAUAUUGGACAAUGGGGGAAACCCUGAUCCAGCGACGCCGCGUGAGUGAAGAAGUAUUUCGGUAUGUAAAGCUCUGUCAGCAGGGAAGAAAGAAAUGACGGUACCUGACCAAGAAGCCCCGGCUAACUACGUGCCAGCAGCCGCGGUAAUACGUAGGGGGCAAGCGUUAUCCGGAAUUACUGGGUGUAAAGGGAGCGUAGACGGUGAUGCAAGUCUGGAGUGAAAGGCGGGGGCCCAACCCCCGGACUGCUCUGGAAACUGUGUAACUUGAGUGCAGGAGAGG
This 305-nucleotide ribosomal RNA is filed under the name uncultured bacterium. RNAcentral describes it as "bacterial SSU rRNA". It matches the Rfam family "Bacterial small subunit ribosomal RNA", at positions 338 to 657 of the family's 1533-position model. The record is from RNAcentral.